UUCACCCUUUUCAAAAUGCAUGAUAGUAGCUAACUAGCUAGCUACGGGGAAAAUGCAUUGUGAAGUCGUUUUCGGGUUGCUUGCUUGUUAGCCAAGUUGUCUUGAGUUCCCACUUUAGCUAGUUUAGUUUAGCUGCUAGUUUACCAACAGUAGAUUCGGGGACGUGUUUAAUAAGGCCUCUAGUGGAAUUAAAUGUCUGCACUUUCAGUUUUGAAGUUGCUUUUUACAGUUUGUCAGAUUGAAGCGUUAACGUUACAUAUACUUUUAGCUAACUACAGUGUCUAGUUAGGUAAUAAUGUAGCUAGUAGCUACAGUGUCUAGUUAGGUAAUAAUGUAGCUAGUAGCUACAGUGUCUAGUUAGUCUGACUAUGGCCUAGUUAGGUAAUAAUGUAGCUAGUAGCUACAGUGUCUAGUUAGUCUGACUGGCCUAGUUAGGUAAUAAUGUAGCUAGUAGCUACAGUGUCUAGUUAGUCUGACUGGCCUAGUUAGGUAAUAAUGUAGCUAGUAGCUACAGUGUCUAGUUAGUCUGACUAUGGCCUAGUUAGGUAAUAAUGUAGCUAGUAGCUACAGUGUCUAGUUAGUCUGACUGGCCUAGUUAGGUAAUAAUGUAGCUAGUAGCUACAGUGUCUAGUUAGUCUUGACUAUGGCCUAGUUAGGUAAUAAUGUAGCUAGUAGCUACAGUGUCUAGUUAGUCUGACUGGCCUAGUUAGGUAAUAAUGUAGCUAGUAGCUACAGUGUCUAGUUAGUCUGACUAUGGCCUAGUUAGGUAAUAAUGUAGCUAGCUACAGUGUCUAGUUAGUCUGACUGGCCUAGUUAGGUAAUAAUGUAGCUAGUAGCUACAGUGUCUAGUUAGUCUUGACUAUGGCCUAGUUAGGUAAUAAUGUAGCUCGCUACAGUGUCUAGUUAGUCUGACUGGCCUAGUUAGGUAAUAAUGUAGCUAGUAGCUACAGUGUCUAGUUAGUCUGACUA
Oncorhynchus keta (chum salmon) is the source of this 969-nucleotide long non-coding RNA. RefSeq lists it as uncharacterized. NCBI's taxonomy places the organism in Eukaryota, Metazoa, Chordata, Actinopteri, Salmoniformes, Salmonidae. The record is from RefSeq and is a predicted model, not a curated record. The transcript is spliced from 3 exons.